AUGUCAAUCACCGCCCAUUAUAUCAAUGCAGAAUUCAACUACAAGAAGAAGACCAUAAGUUUCGCAGAAGUGAAGUAUCCCCACACAGGCUAUGUGAUAGAAGAAGAAAUAGUUCGUUGCUUAACAGAAUGGGGCAUAAGGGGCAAAUUAUUCACUUUGACACUAGAUAAUGCCAGCAUAAUACUAAUGCAUGUGAGGAGUUAA
This 204-nucleotide ribosomal RNA is filed under the name Triticum aestivum (bread wheat). RNAcentral describes it as "partial small subunit ribosomal RNA". Lineage: Eukaryota; Viridiplantae; Streptophyta; Magnoliopsida; Poales; Poaceae. The record is from RNAcentral.